RNAcentral lists this ribosomal RNA (429 nucleotides) under Verrucomicrobiota bacterium. RNAcentral describes it as "Verrucomicrobia bacterium partial 16S ribosomal RNA". It matches the Rfam family "Bacterial small subunit ribosomal RNA", at positions 355 to 776 of the family's 1533-position model. Lineage: Bacteria; Pseudomonadati; Verrucomicrobiota. The record is from RNAcentral.
UAGGGAAUCUUCCGCAAUGGACGAAAGUCUGACGGAGCAACGCCACGUGAGUGAAGAAGGAUUUCGGUUCGUAAAACUCUGUUGUUAGGGAAGAAAAAAUGUAUAGUAACUAUAUACAAAAGAGACGGUACAUAACCAGAAAGCCACGGCUAACUACGUGCCAGCAGCCGCGGUAAUACGUAGGUGGCAAGCGUUGUCCGGAAUUAUUGGGCGUAAAGCGCGCGCAGGUGGUUUAGAAAGUCUGAUGUGAAAGCCCACGGCUCAACCGUGGAGGGUCAUUGGAAACUAAUAAACUUGAGUGCAGGAGAGAAAAGUGGAAUUCCUAGUGUAGCGGUGCAAUGCGUAGAGAUUAGGAGGAACACCGGUGGCGAAAGCGGCUUUUUGGCCUGCAACUGACACUGAGGCGCGAAUGCGUGGGGAGCAAACAGG